This is a long non-coding RNA of Pan troglodytes (chimpanzee), 15887 nucleotides long. RefSeq lists it as uncharacterized. The transcript is spliced from 3 exons. NCBI's taxonomy places the organism in Eukaryota, Metazoa, Chordata, Mammalia, Primates, Hominidae. The record is from RefSeq and is a predicted model, not a curated record.
UUACAAUAUGAUUUUUAGGAUUUUAAAUUUUAUUUAUAUUUCUAAUUUCAUAUGUUUUCUGACGUUUCUCUAUCAGAACACACACAGACAUAUUCACACAUAUGUUUACAUAGAUGUUCUGACUUUUGCUUGAAAAUUUUGUUCUACCCAGAAUAACCCCAUUCAUCCUUUCCAUCUUUCUAAAUCUUAUCCAUUCUUCAAAACACUGUAUAAAUCCUGCCUAUGCUUCUCUGGCCACAGUAGCAUUGAAUCCUCUCUCCUUCCUCUGGAUAUCUUUGGUCUUUAAUGUUUGUAUCAUUAAUUUAUUAAAUAUGUUCAUUCUCAAUAGUUCUUAGAGUUAUGCUGCUUAAUAUUUUUAUUUAACUUUUGUAUGCAGUGAUUUAACUGUAAACUUUUUGAGAACAGAGUGCUAAGUUCAUCUUUAUCAAUUUGCUCUCUAAUUGGCUUCUGUAAAAACUAGUAAAUACAACAGAAACAAGCAAUAAAACCCACACUGCCCACAUCUUACAUUUUAUAUGGGAGAGUGAUAAGAUUUAAAAUAAAUAUAUUUAUUAUGAUAAUGUUGAGUAUUGAUGUUAAUUCUCCCAUGUGACAUGUAUAUGGAUAUAUAUGUAUGCUUGUAUUUAUAAAGAAACUAUUAUAACUUAAUUCUGAUUAGCCUCUUGCAGCUUUUCAAAAUUCAUUCUACUGUGUCUUCUCAUGACUGAUAACUUGGAAAGGUGAGUGACUGCCAUUAUAGUCCUUGUUUAUUUAGGAGGAAACUGGUGUUCAGAGAAUUAUAAUUUGAUAAAGAUUUGAUCAUUAUUAAUUGGCUAAGGAGGUGCCAUAAUUAGAGUCUAGGAGUCUUCUAAUCCAGUUUCUCUCAGAAUAUCUGCACUGAAAGACCAGCUCCCCACCCACCCCCAAUAUGCUGCUAACCAUUAUUUUUUAGUAAUAUAAUUGAAUUACUAGAAAAAUAAAAAAAUAAGAUGAAGAGUUCCUAAAUUGUUAAUCUCAAUGUACUUAUUGUUUUGGUUGGAAAACAAAUAGCACAUGGAACAGCUCCAGUCUCUGGAUCACACUUUCAGUGUUGCUUGUGUCAAUCAUGACAUAUCCCUUCUAAAAGAAUCAUCCUCAUCCAGAAUAUCUGCCAUCUAAAUUGCUAUGUUUACUCACACAGGAUCUAACCCUAACGCUAACCCAACCCAAACACUAACUCUUUAAAUUUACAGCUGAAUGGAGUGGGGCCAAAAAAUAGAUUGGCCAGCAAUUUUUGAACUGUGUGGCCAGGCUGCAAAAGAUGAGCUGGGCUCAUCAGUAUUUUUGUCUCUAGACUUAGAUAUAAUAUGCGAAGAAAAAAAUUUUCUGUGAAAUUCCAAGGUUUGGGACAUGGUUAAAAUGUGAACGAGCAGAAACUUUGAGUAAUCCGUGAAAGCUGGAUUGGGGCAGGGCAGAUAGAGGAAUAUGUGCAAUGCAGCUGAGUCAUGUUAAUAGUAGAUGACUAAAGAUUAAAGAACUGCUGGGCCAGUAACAGUGGCUCAUGCCUGUAAUCCCAGCACUUUGGGAGGCCGAGGCUGAUGGAUCACGAGGUCAGGAGUUCGAGACCAGCCUGGCCAACAUGGUGAAACCCCAUCUCUACUAAAAAUACAAAAGUUAACUGGGCAUGUAGGCGCACGCCUGUAAUCCCAGCUACUCGGGAGGCUGAGGCAGGAGAAUCGCUUGAACCCAGGAGGUGGAGGUUACAGUGAGCCAAGAUCACGCCAUUGCACUCCAGCCUGGGCGACAGGGCGAGACUCCAUCUAAAACAACAACAACAAAGAUUAAAGAACUGUGCUGAAGCUGAAAAAGCUGCUAGAAUUCUAGAAUUACCCCCAGUACCCCUUAGCCCAAGGCAUGAAACAUCAUUUUCUUUGAAUGUCCUAAGAUACAGAUCCUACACUUCUUACAAUGUACAUCUAUAUCCUAGCUGGCACAAAUAUGUCUCUGAAUUAUUCAAGAAGCUUAGCUUAACCAGGACAUAGUCCCAGGCUUUUCUUAUUAUACCAAACAAGCUUAUUUCAGAACCAGUAGAAGCCAUAUUUGAAAGACAAGUUAUUGGCAUCCACAUCUCUGCAAUGAGAUUGUAAACCAAACUGUGUUGAUCUGGUGGAACUAUCUUCUGUUUGCUACUAAAAUCUGUCUCCUACAUACCUACUUUUCAGUUUCUUUGUUUUUAACUUAGUCACAAAAAAAGAAUAAUUACAACAUUUUUCAUAGUUAAUUAUAGUCUGAUUUUGCUCAAGGAGGAAAUAUCUUAAAAUUUAUACCAAAUUAUCUCAAUAAUGGAUGAGCUCCCACAAUUCAUCUGCCCGCUGUAUGUUCUCCGAUUUGCAGAGCUUUUUAGAACCAACCCCUACUCUUUAAUGGGCCAGACAUGUGCUUUUAGUUGUACUAACCCAGACACACAUCAUAUAUUAAUGGCUUCUGGAAUCACCCCAGAAAUCAAAGGUGUAGGUAUGAGAUUGAGUGCACAGUGAUUUUCCAAACAUGUUUUAUUGCUUGAUGCUUUUUUUUAAAAAAAGGAAAAUGUUCAUAUAGAUUUUAACUCCUUAGCUAUAUUAAAAUAGCAUAUUUGCUUCACAGUUUAAAAGUUUCUCUUAGUACAAAAAUGAAAUCAUAGCUUCUUUUUUUAUUCUUCAGUAAAUUCUAAAUUUUAAAUUACUGCUAAAUUAAAUGGUUUGUGUCAGAUGUUAACAAUAUGCGGCUUUAGAUUAAAACAAGCUCCAUGUAAUCUUACUGAGCCAGUAGGUCAUAGAAAUAAGAGAAAAUGUGCUUGAAUCACAGGAGAGAAGGGAUGUUGGAUAGAUCUGUGAAAUCUUUAUGUUGUAGUAUCAGCUGAUUGAUAGCAGUGAUUCUCAGAAGGGUUCCAAUAUUAAGCCUUUCAAAAGCUGGAGAUUAGUGCAACCAUGGUGAACACAGUGACAUUCUGGCAAAGAAAAAAGGGUCAGGGCUGGCAAAAUGUGGCAGGUGUCAAAAUAAAAGGUUAGGCUCUAUGCCUGGGGACCCAUCUGUCAGAUAAAAGUAUGACAAGGCAAUUAAUGUGUUUAUUUAUGUUGCUUAUGACAAACCAUGCAUUCCCUAAAAAUGAUCAAUUUAAACAUUAUCAACUGUUUUCUGGAAAUUAAAAUUAAUAUAAAAAUAAAAUGUUUAAAAUAAAAAGCAUGGUGUAAUAUUGAAAUGGCUUGUUUAUAUAACCAAAUAAAGUUAACUUUGGGGAAUUAUAGUAGUCUUCAUUGAAGGAUUAGAACUAUUAAAUAUAACAUCUUGACAAUAUAGAAGUUAUAUUAAGGAUCCACAAAACUGAUGUUUAUGUUGCAAGAUAAUCUUGGUAGCACUUCUCAUAAGUUCAGCAUGUUUUAUAUUCAUUGAGCUAAAUUUGAUAAUUUCAUAAUAAAAUGAAGCCAAGAAAAUUAUGAAGAAAUAGAAUUUAGAUAUCCAAGCUAUGCGUCUUGCAUUUUCUUUAAAUGUUUUGUUCACAACCUUGUCAUUAUUAGAGCUUUCAUUUUCACUUUGUGACUAAUCCUGACUUCUCUUUAAUUUAUUUAUUAUUUAUUUAGCUUUCUCACUACUUCUGUUUUACCAUCUGUUUAAACUAGAAUAUGUUUAGAUUUAAUAUUCAUCGGUGAUACAUUUUCCUACAGAUAAAAUAAAUUACUACAAGCUCCUAAAAUGUCAUGUGUUUUACAGGUCAAUAAAAUCUAACCCAGAAUUUUGAGAGAAACAGAAUUUACUACAGUCUAAAGUUUUAUGCAAAAACUGAUCAUCCCCAUUCUUUCCUUGAAUAAAGAAAAGAAGCUGUCAAUUACCAUGUAUUAAUAAGUGAGGCUCACACCUUAUAGUAGCAACAAAAUUAGAAGAGAAAUAAUAUGUAUGUCUAGUGUAAUGUGAUAUGCAGAAGAAAAAUUUAAAUUCUUUAAUUGUAAAGGAAAAAAGCCAAUAUGAUAAUGUUAUUUCCAAGGUGCACUUUCUGUCUGCUGAGCGAUGAAAUUAACAAGUAAAGUCAUUGGAAUAGUCAAUAAAAUCAUUUGGCUUUGGAAAGAACAGAGGUAUUUUGUUCAAUAGUUUUGUUUUCUUUAGGCUGAGACAGUAAUUAUGCCAUCAUCAUCACUUUCCAUCUUUUAGAAGGAUAUUGGUUAAAUUUUGAGUUAAUGAUUUUUUUCUCCCCAAGAUUCCUUUCUAGCCCCUAAUAUUACUAUAGUCUUAAACUAUCUUCUGUUUGUCAUACAAAAUGGCUUCUCAUAGAACAACACCAAUGUCAGGGUAGGAGCUGAGGAAGAAAAAGUAAAUAAAAAUACACAAAAUCCAAACUUUGUUAUAUGUUCCAUUCAGUGGCCUUAUACAUGAUUUACAAAUUUUGUUUGAAGUUUAAUUAUAAUUAACCACUAUUUAAUUCGAAUUCACUGCUGGCUGUAUUUCCUGAUUCAGAGUUCCAUAUUGCUUCUAUUGCUGGUUUUAAUUUAUUUGAACCUCAGUCUUCUAAAUUGUCUCUAUUUCCUACCCAUUAUUUUUUAUUUGCCUAGAGGUACUUGAAAAUGCAUUCAGAAAAAAAAAAUUCUUACUCACCAUUUUGUACAACUCUUCAAAACUCUAGGAUAUGCUACAUAAUGUACAUAAUAAAAGUAGUAAUUUCAACAGAAAAUAAAGAUGCCACUCAAUUUUGCCAUGGAUUUAUAAAAAUGACACAUCAGACAACAGGUAAGUUUUUUUUUAACUUAUUGACCAUGAUAACAAUCCAUUAUCAACUAGCUAUUUCACAGGAUAUAUUCUGUCUUUACAUUGGAAGAAAAAUAUACAAUGAAACUCAUUUUAUAAAAAGAAAAACCAAUUUAAUUUAUACCUUUAUAUUUUCACAGAAGCAUAUGAGAAAAAUUUGCUGGGUAUCUACUCACUUCAAUUCAAACAUUUGAAGAAAUUAUGAAAAUUCCGAUGAGUUUUUAAAGUUUGUGCUUGCUCUGGUGUAGUGUAGCCAUGCAUUGAUCUAUCAUCACAGCCAAAAGUGGAAACAAUUCAAAUGUCCAACAACUGACGAAAAGAUGAAGUGUGGUAUAUCCAUAUAAUGGAAUAAUAUGCAGACAUAAAGUGGAAUGAUUGACACAUGUUUACAACAUGGAUGAACCUUGACAACGCUGUGUUAAGUUAAAGAAGCCAGACACAAAAGGAUUGUCAACACUGUGGCAAUUGAAAAUAACAGGAAUAACUGUUUUAUGACAAAUGGACCUGAACCCUAUGAAAUGAAUUUGCAAGCACUGGCACAGUUAACAUAUGCUACAAACAACCAUCUUCAGACAGUGUAGCCAACCAACUGUGCCAGACUUAAACUGACGACCCUGAGGUGAAUCGUUCUAUUGCCACAACAUUUCUGAUCCUCAAGGCUCUCCAUGCUCCUAAACUCUUUUCUUUAAUAUUCUACAGUGUGUUUAUUUUCACGGCUAUAAAGUCAUACUCAGAUUUGCAAUGAUAUUUACUACCAUAUUUCAGAGUGUUUUAACUGAUGUUAGUUCAAAUCAAUUCUGGAGAAACUUUCCAGCCAAGGGAAUUGCAAGCUAGCUGGUUGACAUUGGAGGUCAAAUACUCCAGGGUAUGGGUCUCAAAUCACUUAAUUCUUCACAGCAAAUUAGAAACGGGACUCCAGCUGGUGCUAAAGAAUAAGACAGACUUGCUGUAUAAGGACAAGCUGCUGCUUGGAUUUCGAGUCUUUAUAUUCCUAAAAUAAAAAAUGUGAGACCCAAUUCCCACCCCCCAAUCUCAUUCUUUCAGAGUAAAAGAUUUCUUAACAACAGCAAAAAUCUGGCCACCUGAUUUCAAUACAUAAAUCUUGCCAAGUUAUAAAAAUAAGAUAUGAUUUAAACAGCAACCUGUAAUCUCCUGUUGACGACCAGCUGUGCCUCCUAUUAGUAUUAAUGGAAGUUACACAGGCAUAAUAAGAAGGAGGGGAAAAUGCCACCUUAUGCUUUUUGCACACCUUAACAUUUUUAUAGCAAGUCUGAUUACAAGGGUUUACUUGAGCGGCAAUUAAACAAUGAUUGAUUACUCAGUACAAUUUGUAUUCCAGGCAACAUGCAAAUGGUAAUGAAAUUCUCAGAUAAGGAAUGGAAUAAAUUCUUCUCACAUCAGAGAAUCACAUCUUUUUAACAGAAAACGUUUUCUUAUAUGGAGAGAAGAACUUCAGUAUAAGUUUCUUAAAUAAUACAUGUUUACCCAAAGACAAUAAGCCUUGAUUUGGAUUUAGAAAGGAAUGGUAAUGAUUUUUGCAAAUUGUACUUCCCACUUCACCUUUAGACUACGGCUCUCUUUCCAUGAUGACAAACUAUAUGGAUGGAAAGUAUAAUAUUCACUCACAAAUAUAUUGACUUCGACUAUAGUCACAACUAUAAACAAUAUUUUUCAUCAUAUUUUGACAUUGCAGAAAUAAUAUCUACUUUUAAAUUGAAAGUGAAGUGAAAGGUUUAUUUAUUAAGUGUCUAUCAUGUGCCAGGCACCAUUCUAGGUGUAGGCAACACAGCAAAGAACACACAAUACUCAUGGUAGAGAAGAAGAAACUGACAAUAUACAAGUAUACAGAUAUAGAUACAAAGUCAGUGUAUAUAGAAUAAAGAAAACGAUCAGGAGAAACUGAUAGGCAUUGAUGUGUAUAUGUACCUAUUCAUAUUCAGGGGAAAAUGAUGGAAAGGGAAGUCGAUGACUUUGCACCUGCUUUUUCCUACUUAAGGAAGAUCCUGAUCCAACAUCAUUGAAUAGUUGCCUGCUCUGUACCAUUUUGAUAUUCAUCCAAGUACAAAUAAUAGAAAGAGCUUAGAAUUAAUAUGCUGGAUAAAUAGUAAAGCCACAGUGGCUGAUGUGGUAUAAGCUGGAGUAAAAUGGAGAUGACAUGAGAUCACAGAUACACAGAGGUAUAGUCAUUGUAAGCCAAUUUAAGUAAUGUGUGCUUUACUUUAAUUUUAAUGAGAAUCCAUUGAUAGGUUAACAGGAGAGUGUUAUGAUGUAAAUAUGUUUUUCAACCAUCAAUCUAAUUGCUGUAUGUAUGUUAUGGGAUAUAGUAGAAAUGUGACCUACCUUGAAAUCUGCAUUUUUCCUGAAGAACUGGCUAAUACAUUACCAUUUUCACUUAUUGAAAAUUUAACGUAAAAGAGAAAUUGCAGUUAAUAUCUUAUAGUCAGGUAUGUUUAAAAAUAAAAAUCAGAAAUCGCUCCUGCUUUAAGGUACUAUUAUCAUAAAAGGCAGGGAUAUGUGAAAGGAAAGAGAAGAAAAAGUUAUGAUGUCUAUAAAAACAAAAUAUUAGAAAAGACUAUUAAGGAUCACAUUGUCCAUCAGCUUGCUUUUUGCAGCUGGGAUAAAUGGCUGUUUAUGUUCUUUGUUCAGAUUUCCAGGAUAAAGACUUCAUAUCAUCCCUGGUAGUCCACGCUAAUAUUUUAUCUUUGACAUAAAGAAGUUAUUUUUUAUAUCCAAUUACAUUGUCUCAAUUUAUUAAACCUAUUUCAUGACCUGAUGUCAAAAUAGAAAACAACUGCUCACUAUUCUGAUAAAAACUAUUUGAAUACAAUAAUUUAUUCAAGCUUAGCCAGCUUUGUCUUCUCUAAGCUAAAGAAUCUGAAACUCUUUUAUCAUUCCCUAUUUUUAUCACUUUAGUCAAAUUUUUCUUAUGCCCAGAAAAAUCUACUUUAAAGUAUGAAUUGCUUCUUGUAUCAAAGCACAUACAAGUUGAUUAGAAAUUUAUGUUCUAUGUUUAGCAAUUUAGCUUAGUUAAAAUGAUGAGAGGAAGAUGACAAAGUAUUUAACACAUUAUAUUUCUGUGAAAAUCUGUGAUACAACUCAUCGCAUAGGCAUGGAUUUACUAUGCGUAACAAUUACAACUAUACAUAUUUAUUUAGGAUGUGCAUGAUACAUGUAAUAUAUUUAGUCAUACAUAAUAGGUAUAUACAUAUGUUUGUUUCUUACUGUAACAAGGAAAAACCAUGAAAUAGAUAUUAUCAUUCUUUAAUCAGGAUUCUCAUAGGUCACAGAUUAGACUAGACUAGAACAGCAAAAUAGAAAAAUUCUGUAAGGGAACACAUUACUCUAUUUCAAGGCAGACAUGUAAAAUAGAAGGUAUUGAGUGAAGGAGUCCUGGGCAAGAAUCCAAGAUCUGCCACCCAUUAGUCUUGUGAAGAUACAGCAUUAACAUUGUGAAGCCUCGAUUUUCUUAAUUAUAUGAUAAUUAAUAUACAAUGUCUAAUAAAUUGCUUAGCAAAAUAGGAACUCUAAAUGUUAGUUCCAUGAAUAAAACCAAAAUAAAAUCCAUUUGGACGUUUAUAAAACCAAAAAAUGCUGUUUAUAAAGUAUACUGCACUUAAAAUAAAUAAAUAAAAUUCACGAUAUUGUGGUGGUGUUUCAAUAACUCCUACCUACCACCCCCAAGAAAGAAAUUAGGUAUCUGAAACUCCAAUACAAUACAUAAGUGUCAGUUUCUACAUUUUUAAUUUCAGAUUAUUGUGGUAAUUAAAUAAAAGAUCAUGUGUAAUGUCCUGGGCAUACAGUAGAUGAUCAAUAAAGUCAGCUAUUUUUAUUAGCUCUAAGUAAAAUUAAUGAUUAAGCAUGCAUGGUUCAACAGAGGAUGCAACACAGCAAUCAAUGGUUUUUAAAGCUAGUACAGAUGGGAAGGUGGCUCUGUCCAUAUACUCUAGUCAUUCAUUAUCCAGGAACAACAAGUGUGGGCCAGGAAAAUCUUUCCCUAGAACAAUAGUGGAUGCCAAGAUCCUAACCACUCAAUACAAUCUCUCAGAAAGAAACAUUUGGUGGCCUUUAAAUAGAAAGUAUCAUGCCAAAAGAAUGUUUUUGGUUCUAUACUUUUUAAUCUCCAAAUUGAAAAUAGUUAAGUUGAAAAAUGUUUCUCAUUUUUCUUCUUAUUAUAUUCUUCAGGGGGUCAAAGUCAAUCUUGAAAUAUGUUAAUGCUGUUACAUCCUAAGGUGCUGCUGGUUUGGAAGAUGGGCAAAAAAAUUAAAAAAUGUAUAAAGCCUUUAAGAAACAAACGUGUGUGUGACACAGAUGGCUGGAAUAAAUUAUGGGACUCAAAAAGCGGUUCAAUUUGCUUAGUUUUAAAAUCCAUUUGGACAUUUAUCAAAGUUCACAUUGUGAAAUGUAUUUGUGCUACUUGGAAGAGUGAUAGUAAUCAGCACCCGCAACACCAACCCCCAGAAAAGAAAAAUAAAUAAAAAAAAGGAAAAAUCUAUAAGCUCUUUUCAUUGAAGCCUAAAACAAGAUAGUUGAAUUAAUGAAUCUAGUGAUGACUCAUUUUAAGCAACAAUUGGGAAAAGUAUGAUGGAUGAUUUAAAAUAUACAUACAGACAUACAUGUAUAUAUCUAUAUAUACACAACACAUACAAUGGCAUCAGCACGUAAUAUAUCGGUUCUUCCAAAAGAUUGUCAAAAUACUUUCAGAAUGGUUAUUCUGUUUAAGACACAAAGUACCAAAUAAUCUUUCCCUUAAAUUCUGCAAAUAAGAUGUGAAUAUUCUUUAAAAUUUAAUAAAAUUUUUAAUAAAUGGAGAAGAAACUGCUCAGAAUAUUUGAAACAACAAAACAAAUUAAACUAUUUGAACAUGUUGAAGGAAAGAUACAAGGAAAUGGGAAAUAUUUUCAAAUUUAUUGGAAAUACCAAGGUCCUUUGCACAAAUGACUGUAUUUAUCAAAUAUUGUCAAGUGAGUUGUUAAGACAAGAAUGAGAAAUGUGUUUCAGAGCAAGCUCUUAGCUUAGAGUUUCUCUGAUUGACAAACAUGAUAAAUUUUAAUUUUUGAAUACCUAAAGAUGCACCGAGGUGGGUGCUUUUGGGAAAGUACACAAACAUGUUGAUUUUUAUUCCAUUUGCUUGUUCAAUCAACAUAUAUUUAGAGCACAUCUACUUAAAUCCAGACACUGUCUAAACUGAGUGAUUCAAAGAUUAGUAAGGUGUAGUCCUUGCCCUUGAACAGUUCUGUCUGGUGGAUGAGACAGACACAUAAAUGUAGAAUAUUAAAUGCUAAUACAUAAGUAUGAAAAGAGACUAUAACCUACAAUCUGUUUCAUGAGUUUUUUCAAAAACAUUUAUUGAGCAUCUACAAUAUGCUAGGCACUGGUUCAGACACUGAUGAUACAGCAGUGAACAAAACAGCCUCAGGGAACUUACAUUCUAUUAGGAGAAGGCAGGCAAUGAGCGCACACAUCACUAAAACAAAUAGAAUGUCAUUUGUAUUCUAUUGCUAGGGAGAAAAAUAAAAUAGGAAAAGGGGGGUAGUGAAUGUGAGAAAUGUGAGCUGCAAUUUUAAAUAUGGUAUUCGAGAAGACCUUACUGAGAAGGUGGUCAUUAUGCAAGUGCUUGAAGCUGAUGAAGGGCUAUCUGUUGAAAUACCUAGUGUGGAAUAUCAAUGCAGACAGAGGGAAGAGCAAGUGGAAAAAUCUCUGUGGGUGGAGUUGGAGUAAACAAGAAUAGCAGGAAUGAGAAGGAGAGAAGAAACAAAAAGCUAGAUAUAUACAUACAUGUCUUGCAGGCCAUUGUACAAUUUUUCUACUGAGUGAAAUGGGAAGACAUGAUGGGUUUGGAGUGAGAGACUGACAGGAUUGCUGUUUCAUAGAUUAAAUAAAUCAAAACAUUCAAACAACUAUCUUAUAAUAGGACAUUCUCCACAUAUUUAGAUUAUUUUGCCUAGUUAAAGCUUAAGGAGUUUGUGCUACUUGCCAAUUUCUAUAACUCUUAAAAAUAAUUUGCUCCAGACUGAUGAUAAUUAUUUUGCUAAUAAUGGACUAUAGAUUAUAGACAAAUUUGGUAUUCAGCUUUUCAUGUAAAACACUUCAUAUAAAAAAAUUACAGAAUACCUAAUAUGUAUCAAGGGUGGGAGUAAUGAGGUUUUUACCCUGCAUGCACAAACAUACACAUUUAUAAAAGGUUUUUGUAUUGGUCUAUCUGCUCAGAGUGCAAUGGAGCUUGUAAAACAACUUUUACUUUUUUGUAUAAUUAACUAAUAUGUGUUUGUUACUUGUCCAUGAAUAUUUAGAUCUUAUAUCAUGUUAUUUGAUUUAUUGAUAUAUAUUCUUUAUAUAUAUUUAUAUAUAUAAUUACCCAUGUUUUUUUCUGUUAAUAUUCUUCUACAACAUCAUUUCUAAUGCCUGCAUAAAGUUGAAUUAUGAAUUCACCAGAUUAAUGUCAGUUAUUUAUGUAUUUUUUAUUGAGAUGGAGUCUCACUCUGUUGCCAAGCUGGAGUGCAGUGGCGCAAUCUCAGCUCACUGUAACCUCCGCCUCCGGGGUUCAAGCAAUUCUCCUGCCUCAGCCUCCCGAGUAGCUGAGACUACGGGCACGCAGCACCAUGCCCAGCUAAUUUUUGUAUUUUUAGUAGAGACAGGGUUUUACCAUGUUGGCCAGGAUGGUCUCGAUCUCUUGACCUCAUGAUCUGCCUGCCUUGGCCUCCCAAAGUGCGGGAAUUACAGGUAUGAGGCACCAUGCCCGGCCAAUGUCAGUUAUUAAUAAUCAGUUAUCAAUCAGUCACCUGUUGUAGGGCAUAUAUGCUGUUUUAUUUUUGCAUGAAUAACUUCAGAAUGAACAUAUUUUUGGAUACAUCUUGCAAAAAGAAUAUUGUUUUCUUAAAAAAAUCAGAAAUAAAGUUGAUGACUCAGAGAAUGCACAUAUUUACCGUUUGGCUAUUGCUAUGGUUUGAAUGUUUGUGUCCUCCCAAAAUUUACAUGUUAAAACCUAAUCACCAAUGUGAGGAUAUUAUGAGGUGGGCCCUUUGAGGGGUGAUUAGAUCAUGAGGGCAGAACUUUCAUAAAUGGGAUUAGUGCCCUUAUUAAAGCAACCUGGAGAGCUGCAUUGUCCCUUCUGCCAUCUGAGGACACAGCGAGAAGGCAUCAUCCAUGAACCGGAGGGUGGGUGCUCACCAGACACCAAAUUUGCCAAUGUUUUAAUCUUGGACUUCCCAACCUCCAGAAUCGGAAGCAGUAAAUGUCUGUUUAUAAGCUAACCACUUCAUGGUAUUUUGUUAUGGCAGCCAAAUAGACUAAGAAAGCUAUGUAUUGCUCAACUGCCCUGCCUAUAUACUAUACUAAGUUUUUACUCAUUAUGGAAUCUUAUGAACCUGUUAAUUUUAUUGCACCUUCAUUUCCUUAAAAAAUCUUUGCCAGUUUGAUGUGUGAAAAACUCUAUGUCAUUAUAAUUUUUUGACAUUGCUUUGAUUACUGAUUGGGUUGACUCAAUUUUCACAUUUUCAUUAACUGCUUGUAUUCCCUUUUUUGUGAGUUGGCCAUUGAUGCCCUUUAUCUAUUUGUAUAUCACUGGAAAUCUUUUCCCCUUAGGCUUUCUAUACUCUCUGCUAUGUUGAAAAAGAGUAAUGCUAAAUAAUGAUCUGCAAUGAAGUUUUAAGAUAAAAAUGUGAUAGUUAUUCAUAAUAUUUAUUUACCUGCUAUGUACUAGGUACUAUGUUAGGCAUGGAGGAUAAAAAGAUAAGACCCAUUAAAAAUUAUCAAGGAUCUUACAGUGUAGGGGUAGUGUAGGGGUAGGGGUAGUGGAAAUCAAGAAAACAAACUGCAGAACAAGAACAGCACAUCGUUCAUUAUUCAGAUGAUUAAAAAUUGAUGAUUAUAAUUUUAUGUAGGAAAACAGAAUGAGAGCCAGUGACUGAGAGAGGGAAAUCCUUCUGGAGUGUAGGUUUUUCUUUCUGGCCUCUGAUUAAAAACAGAGAUCUGCCUUUUAAGUGCCACAACAUGCUAAAUUGCAACGGUGUUAAUAUAUGGUAGAAAUGUACUAUUUUGGUUUCUAAUGGCACUUAUGAUUACCACCCAGGCUAGCAUGCAUAGGAAAUGACUGAGCCCAUCUCCAGAAAUCACUUGCCUUGGUUGAUUUUCACACAUUCAACCAAGUGAGUAUAUGAAUAUGCAAUUACACAUACAUUGCAAUCAGAGUAAUACUUCAAAAUACACACUUGAUCAUACCAUUCUUCUACUUUAAAAAACCUUCAUGGCUUCCCAUUUCUUAUAGAAUAAAGUUCAAAACCCUAAACAAAGACUAAAUAAAACAUGGCAUGCUUAUCUUGCAGCUUUACCCUGGGUCACUCUCCCACUAGUUGCUUAAACUCCAGCCAUCAGGGCCUUCUUUCCCUGUUGGAUAUCUCUGACCCUGGAGCUUUUACACUUUGCUCUCCUUUCCCGGAAGUCUUUUAAUAACCUCCUUUUGCCUUUUUAACUCUUACGUUGUCCUUUAGGUCUCAGCAGUAAGGCCAUUACCUCAAGGACUCCAUUGAUUUCUCAGGGCCCUCUACUAUAACAGCCUUUUGUUUUUCAUUGAUGUUGCCAUUUGCAGUAAAUAUAUUUUUGUGUGAUUAUUUUGCAAAUGUCCAUCUCCCUAACUAAUCUGCAAAGCACAGGAGAAUAAGAGUUCACUUUUAUUUUGCUCAUCACGGUACCUCUAGUGUUUUCCACUGAACCUAGCAUGUGUUCGGCACAUAAUUAUCAGUGAUAAGAAUGAAUGAACAAAUACAGAAACAUCUCAGAACAAUGAAAUAAAUGAUGAGAUUUAAAAAUAUGAGUUAAUUUUUAUGUCCAGGCAUGAUGAUAAUUAAGCAUGUACAUUUUACAUGCAGUCUAGACUAUUUGUUAAUUAAUAUACAGAGGUAACAAUGCAGCUUAGGUUCACUAGGAAGCAGACUUUGCAAUAGAAAUGUGUGUGCAGGAAGUAUAUUCAUUAUUCAGUGCUGUCUGGAUGAGGCCCAGUGAGAGCAAGGAAAUGAAGCAGGAUGGGCAAAGGGAGAAGCUGAACUCUACAGACGUCCCAACAUAUGUCCCAGCUAAUCCCUUGAGGGACCUCUGAAGGUGGAAUGGCCCCUAAAAGGUGUCUUGAAUUGAGGCAAGGGCCCAGCCUUUAAAUUCCCACAUCAACUGUCAUUGGAUAUCUGCUACCCCAGGAAAGGGCUUGAACUUCGAGUGAGAUGGCUCUCUUAGCCAGGGGCAAUUUCCAGAGAGGGACUCAGCAGACAGCUGUCAACCACUAACAUUCCCAGGAGCUGAGAGAAUGAGUGCCUCAGUUUUGAAUGGGUUGGGGGAUGGGUGGUGAUCUGUGAAGCACAUCAUAACAUCUGCUACAGAUAACCAAAAGGGAAAAUACAUACUUUAAGGCAAGGAUAUGAAGAACUUGCUCAAAUGUAAAUGAACUAGAAAUUAUAAGACAAUAAAAUUCCAGCAAUAAAACAAGAAACCACUUUAAAUGCCAGUUCUUGGAAUUAUGACAAUAUUAGAUGGUGAGAGGAAACCAACAAGGCCAAGGAAAAGACCCCUAAGUAGUAAGGCAAAUUAUUUCAGGGGACAUUCAUUCUAAAGGAUGUUUUCCCCCUACUUUAAGUUAGAUAAGUCUAUAAACUUUCCCCUUACACUGCAUUUUACCCAAAAUCUUUCAUAGGCAAUCAUGCAUUAAUGACAUUUUUCUAGAACGUGGGAACGUGGGCAUUGAAAGAUUAUAUGUUUAAAUUUGUAAUAUUUAAUUUAUAUGACACUGUUCAAUUUACAAAAUACUAUUGCAUACAUUUUGACAUCUGACUCUCAUAGUAAUCCAUUCAAUUAAACCACUCAUUUAAAAUCACUAAGCGGCAAUUUUUGUUUUUCAGUUAGUGGCUAAAGGUUUGUGGUAACAGAGACAAUGUCUCUAUGGUCCACUGAGAUGUCACUAAUGCUUAUGACAGUGUCUGAAACAAUUGUACUAAAAAAUAAUUGCUAAAUAAAUUUAUGGGAGAGGUUUGUAGUUUCUCUGUGUUAUCUGUGCUUUUUAUGGCAUUUACAUAAUACAUGCUGAUAUACUGCAUAUCUAUAUAUGCAAUAUGAUAGACAUGUAGUUGAGCACAUUAUACUGUUUGUUCCAUGAAAUAUGAACCAACGUAUUCCUUUUGGUCUUUUUAACAGGAAUGCUGGAAAUAUUUGGGCCUAACUGAUCUUUAGUCAUUAUCCUACUGGUCAACAUGGGUAGGAAUUAAUUUGGCCCUUGAAAAUCAGACAGUGGAAAAAAUGCACCUCAUGAUCAUUCAGCCUCUGACUUUUUGGGAGGAAAUCAUUUUCAAAGAAAUGUCCCCCACCAAAAAAAAUUUCUUAAUGCUACACUGCAAAGGGAAAAUAAAGGCAUAUGGAAAUCUGAAUUUUUAUUGUGUUUCUAAAUUUGUAAUAUUGAAUAACUUUUUAGAUGUGAAAUUAAAGAUGACUCAUAAGCCCUACUUCUGACUUUGGUAGUAAUAAUAUUCAUUUAUGUACUGUAAGCUAUUAGGUUCAAACAUAAGCUGUCUCUCCAAAGCCUACAAAAAAUUAAUGUGGAACACCUGAUAUUUCACUGUGCUUCCAGAUGGAGGGACAGCUUGACAAACGCCAUCAUAAUUUACAACUUUUAAAAAGUGUGGUGCAAAUGCAUUUGCAGUAAAAGCUUUAAACAGCUUGCAUUAUUUACAGGUACAACUGUGUUUAAUGUGCAAUUUCAAUGAAUUUAAAAUAUUAUUAGAUUCAAUCACUGAUCACAGAGCAUAGGUGUGGCAUGUGAGCAAUGUGAUUAGAUGCCUUAAUUAAUAUGUCAGAACAGGAUACAUCUGUUUGAUGAAGUUGGGGGGAUGGUAAAUAGCAUUUAAAUUUUAUAUUUGAUUAUUGACUAUCACCGAUGAAACUCUUAUCUUUGGAAAACCAGCAUAUUUUGGACUUAUCCUCUAUAGUUGUUUAGGAGAAUUAUAACAGAAAACGAAUAUGAAAAUACACUGUAUAACUCUUACAGAUAACUUGGAUUCUUGUACACAUAAAUUAACUAUCAAUUGCUAACUGAUAAGAUGUAUGUUAAAGUGUAACCUGAAAGAGCAAUAAGCCUGUAUCCCUGUAAGUUAGGAAAUUGAACAUUGAACCUGACUGAUUAA